Molecule: ribosomal RNA, 457 nt
Filed under: uncultured Anaerolineales bacterium
Lineage: Bacteria; Bacillati; Chloroflexota; Anaerolineae; Anaerolineales
Description: bacterial SSU rRNA
Rfam family: Bacterial small subunit ribosomal RNA
Source: RNAcentral
AGGAUGAACGCUGGCGGCGUGCCUAAUACAUGCAAGUCGAACGAAGUGCAGCAAUGUACUGAGUGGCGACCGGGUGCGUAACACGUAGCUGACCUGCCCCUCAGCGGGGGACAACUGCUGGAAACGGCAGCUAAUACCGCAUGAGGUCUGGGUGUCCAGAAAGCCCAGACGAAACUUCAGGGGCUGAGGGAGGGGCUGCGGCCCCAUCAGGUAGUUGGUGAGGUAACGGCUCACCAAGCCGACGACGGGUAGGGGGCCUGAGAGGGUGGUCCCCCACACUGGGACUGACAACGGCCCCAGACUCCUACGGGAGGCAGCAGUAAGGGAUAUUGCACAAUGGGCGAAAGCCUGAUGCAGCAACGCCGCGUGCAGGAAGAAGGCCUUCGUGGUCGUAAACUGCUUUUGGAGGGGACGAGGAAGGACGGUACCUUCCGAAUAAGCCACGGCUAACUACGUG